GCCCCUAUAGCUCAGCUGGUAGAGCGCUUGAUUUGUAAUCAAGAUGUCGGGAGUUCGAGUCUCUCUGGGGGCA
Molecule: transfer RNA, 73 nt
Filed under: Salipiger pallidus
Lineage: Bacteria; Pseudomonadati; Pseudomonadota; Alphaproteobacteria; Rhodobacterales; Roseobacteraceae
Also listed under: 2 other names
Rfam family: tRNA
About the family: Transfer RNA (tRNA) molecules are approximately 80 nucleotides in length.
Source: Rfam by way of RNAcentral